CCGGCUCGGCUCUGAUGGAGGCGGCGCCGAAUUCGGCUGCGCUGAGCAUCCCGGGUUGUUGGUAAAGAUCUUGGUGCCUGGAAGGUCAGAGCUUCGUCUCCUGAAAUGGUUUAUGCCCUGGCGCCACGUUCUGUGGCUUAUAAUCACUUUCGUCCUCGCCGCAUGAGGAAGCAAAUGACACCGCCCCUUACCCUGGAAAAGUGGCUGCAGCCUUCCCUGGAUCUUAGUUUUACUCACCCCGAAGUCAAUUUCUCGUCGUCUCUGCCUUGAACCUUGGAAACAAGUGCUUUCAACAUAAGCGAUGUAAAGGCAUUAAAACAUGUUGAAUGGCUGUGUGCACAGGAUAUCCUACACCUGCCUGACAUCUGGAAUGCAGGUGAAUCAAUCUGACCUGAUGGAGCCACCCACACUUUAGAAGAAUCUCAAAUACAGCCAACCCUGAUCUUCUUCAGCUGAAAAUCAU
Molecule: long non-coding RNA, 463 nt
Filed under: Pan troglodytes (chimpanzee)
Lineage: Eukaryota; Metazoa; Chordata; Mammalia; Primates; Hominidae
Description: long non-coding RNA NONPTRT013449
Source: RNAcentral